UAGAGGCACAUUUAGGACAAUUUGUAGACAAGGUGAACUCUAAUGGUACAAGCCGAAAGAUGAUGAUAUUAAAAGGAAUAAAAGAUCAAGACUAGUGUAUAUCCUGCAUGAUUGAUGGGGUAUGAACACAAAAACCUAUACUUAUACUAUACUGUAAUAUUAUCUUUAAUACAGUCUGGUCUUUUCCCACCAGUAAAGCGCUAAUAAAUGGAUGUGGAAAUGUAUGAAGUCAUUUUGAUUCUGCACUAUUACUACACACAAAUAUCUAAUUUAGAUACUUGUUGCGUUUAAACCUCUACAGCAGCAUUAGACUUUUUACAGCAUGUAGAAGCCUUAGUCAAGUCUGUGUGUCAGGAUUAUUGGCAUCUGCAGUUCCCAUCAGUCACAAGAUCAGUCACAUGAUAUUGGAAGCUGAUUGUCUUUCACUGUUUAGGCAUAUACAGCUUUAUUUUAAAAUGUACUGUUUGUUGUUCCAUCAUGUAAGGAGGCAUAUGGACAAAUGCAAAUGAACAAACAAAAAUAUUUGCAUACACCCAAAUAAACAAAACAUAUAAUAAUUAAAAAUAAAUAUGAAAACUAAAACCUGGAACAAGACUUGACAAAGAACAUUGGCGACAACCAUGAAACCACCAAUGCGACUCAGAGUGCUGUAAAAGGUGAGGUUAAAUAAGUGUAGAUUGCUGAAUGCGAAUCACAUAAAACAAUCACAUGCCGUGGUGAGGUGCAGUGGCUGAUGGGAGAUCAAUUCUGUGGCUCUAGGCAUAAUAACAUCCUGUGACUGUGAGGUGCUUGAAUUCAUGAAGUUCAUGAAGUCAGCUGAUCAGUUAUUAUCAUCUUGUUUCAGGUGCAGUAUACAAAAUGUAUGCUGUUAAUAUAUUCAAAACUUUUACAAUCUUUAUUUUGUCAAGUAUUAGGAUGAGUACUAUGUAAAUUUCCGAAAUAAUAAGAGUGGAGUAACUACAGGAGGAUUUCAACCUGAUGGGGUAUUUAUUUUCUCUAUAAUCCUUUAUUAAUUUCAUUUCAACCACUAUGUUAAUAAAGUUAUUGCUAUACUGAUUUCAAGUACAUUCUAUUGAACUGUAUAUGCAUUUAUUACUGACAAUCCAGGAAGGAGAAUAUGAAACUGUCUUGCAUUAGCAGACAUCUGUGCAUGGUUAGGACUCAGCUCUUUGUGAAUAAUGAGGUCCAGUCAGCUAUUUCCCUUUUCUGAUAAUGCUGUGAUCUAUAUGGUCCAGGAAAUGUUGCUGACAAAGCAAAUCCAGUGGGACCCAUUUACAGAGCUGGGUCUAACAUCAUACUGACCUGCUCAGCUGAGUCCAGCCCUACUGCUGAGUUUCAGUGGGCUGUGAAUGGAGCAGCACUUGGUCAAAUAGGACAUGAGCUCAAAAUGAACAACAUUCAGAGCAGUCAGAGUGGCAAUUAUACCUGCAUCGCCCAUAACACAAAGACCCUGAGAUAUUCCACUUCUCAACCUAUCAGCAUCACUGUACUG
Molecule: long non-coding RNA, 1492 nt
Organism: Silurus meridionalis
Lineage: Eukaryota; Metazoa; Chordata; Actinopteri; Siluriformes; Siluridae
Exons: 3
Source: RefSeq, a predicted model, not a curated record